Molecule: ribosomal RNA, 342 nt
Filed under: uncultured fungus
Lineage: Eukaryota; Fungi
Description: SSU rRNA
Rfam family: Eukaryotic small subunit ribosomal RNA
Source: RNAcentral
GCAUCAUUCAAAUAUCUGCCCUAUCAACUUUAGAUGGUAGGAUAGUGGCUACCAUGGUUUCAACGGGUAACGGGGAAUAAGGGUUCGAUUCCGGAGAGGGAGCCUGAGAAACGGCUACACAUCCAAGGAAGGCAGCAGGCGCGCAAAUUACCCAAUCCCGACCGGGGAGGUAGUGACAAUAAAUAACAAUAUAGGGCUCUUUCGGGUCUUAUAAUUGGAAUGAGGACAAUUUAAAUCUCUUAUCGAGGAACAAUUGGAGGGCAAGUCUGGUGCCAGCAGCCGCGGUAAUUCCAGCUCCAAUAGCGUAUAUUAAAGUUGUUGCAGUUAAAAAGCUCGUAGUUG